Molecule: ribosomal RNA, 443 nt
Filed under: uncultured bacterium
Lineage: Bacteria
Description: partial 16S ribosomal RNA
Rfam family: Bacterial small subunit ribosomal RNA
Source: RNAcentral
CCUACGGGAGGCAGCAGUGGGGAAUAUUGCACAAUGGGGGAAACCCUGAUGCAGCAACGCCGCGUGAAGGAAGACGGUUUUCGGCUUGUAAACUUCUAUCAAUAGGGAAGAAAGAAAUGACGGUUCCUAAAUAAGAAGCCCCGGCUAACUACGUGCCAGCAGCCGCGGUACUACGUAGGGGGCAAGCGUUCGCCGGAAUUACUGGGUGUAAAGGGAGAGUAGGCGGCAAGGUAAGCGAUAUGUGAAAGCCUUAAGCUUAACUUAAGGAUGGCAUAACGAACGAUCUAGCUGGAGUACAGGAGAGGAAAGCGGAAUUCCUAGUGUAGCGGUGAAAUGCGUAGAUAUUAGGAAGAACACCAGUGGCGAAGGCGGCUUGCUGGACUGAAACUGACGCUGAGGCUCGAAAGCGUGGGUAGCGAACAGGAUUAGAUACCCGGGUAGUC